RNAcentral lists this ribosomal RNA (677 nucleotides) under uncultured Actinomycetales bacterium. RNAcentral's name for it is "bacterial SSU rRNA". It matches the Rfam family "Bacterial small subunit ribosomal RNA", at positions 68 to 759 of the family's 1533-position model. Lineage: Bacteria; Bacillati; Actinomycetota; Actinomycetes; Actinomycetales. The record is from RNAcentral.
GAAAGGCCCUGCUUGCAGGGUACUCGAGUGGCGAACGGGUGAGUAACACGUGGGUGAUCUGCCCUGCACUUCGGGAUAAGCCUGGGAAACUGGGUCUAACACCGGAUAGGAGCCAUUUUUAGUGUGAUGGUUGGAAAGUUUUUUCGGUGUAGGAUGAGCUCGCGGCCUAUCAGCUUGUUGGUGGGGUAAUGGCCUACCAAGGCGGCGACGGGUAGCCGGCCUGAGAGGGUGGACGGCCACAUUGGGACUGAGAUACGGCCCAGACUCCUACGGGAGGCAGCAGUGGGGAAUAUUGCACAAUGGGCGCAAGCCUGAUGCAGCGACGCCGCGUGGGGGACGACGGCCUUCGGGUUGUAAACUCCUUUCGCUAGGGACGAAGCUUUUUGUGACGGUACCUAGAUAAGAAGCACCGGCUAACUACGUGCCAGCAGCCGCGGUAAUACGUAGGGUGCGAGCGUUGUCCGGAAUUACUGGGCGUAAAGGGCUCGUAGGUGGUUUGUCGCGUCGUCUGUGAAAUUCCGGGGCUUAACUCCGGGCGUGCAGGCGAUACGGGCAUAACUUGAGUACUGUAGGGGUAACUGGAAUUCCUGGUGUAGCGGUGAAAUGCGCAGAUAUCAGGAGGAACACCGAUGGCGAAGGCAGGUUACUGGGCAGUUACUGACGCUGAGGAGCGAAAG